This 388-nucleotide ribosomal RNA is filed under the name Salmonella enterica. RNAcentral's name for it is "partial 23S ribosomal RNA". It matches the Rfam family "Bacterial large subunit ribosomal RNA", at positions 1 to 428 of the family's 2925-position model. Lineage: Bacteria; Pseudomonadati; Pseudomonadota; Gammaproteobacteria; Enterobacterales; Enterobacteriaceae. The record is from RNAcentral. RNAcentral also lists the same sequence under 2 other names.
GGUUAAGCGACUAAGCGUACACGGUGGAUGCCCUGGCAGUCAGAGGCGAUGAAGGACGUGCUAAUCUGCGAUAAGCGCCGGUAAGGUGAUAUGAACCGUUAUAACCGGCGAUUUCCGAAUGGGGAAACCCAGUGUGACUCGUCACACUAUCAUUAACUGAAUCCAUAGGUUAAUGAGGCGAACCGGGGGAACUGAAACAUCUAAGUACCCCGAGGAAAAGAAAUCAACCGAGAUUCCCCCAGUAGCGGCGAGCGAACGGGGAGGAGCCCAGAGCCUGAAUCAGCAUGUGUGUUAGUGGAAGCGUCUGGAAAGGCGCGCGAUACAGGGUGACAGCCCCGUACACAAAAGCGCAUGUGUUGUGAGCUCGAUGAGUAGGGCGGGACACGUG